Molecule: non-coding RNA, 568 nt
Organism: Capra hircus (goat)
Lineage: Eukaryota; Metazoa; Chordata; Mammalia; Artiodactyla; Bovidae
Source: the annotation of a RefSeq genome assembly
CAGUUUCUGAGCGAGGAGCUUCUGUAACAUCCAGAUGGAGACUAGACUUGUUAGACUGAUGUAUUUCAGGGAACAAGGAUCGUUUUCUUUUGCGAACAUGCAUCCUGUCACUCACUCAGUUCUUCUGAUCAUCUUAGUAUUAGGAGGGACCAAUGGUGACUCAGUGAACCAGACAGAAGGCCCAGUGACUGUCUCAGAGGGGGCUCUCAUGACCCUGAACUGCACUUACCAGACGGCUGAUUUUUCUCCCUAUCUUUUCUGGUAUGUCCAGCAUCUCAACAAAGCUCCUCAACUCCUCCUGAAGGGCUUAACAGCAGACAAGAAGGUAGAGCAUGAAGGUUUUCAGGCCACUCUUGUUAAGAGUGACAGCUCCUUCCACCUGCAGAAACAGGCAGUGCAAACAUCAGACUCGGCCGUGUACUACUGUGCUCUGAGUGACACAGUGACACAGGGCUGCGGGGGAGCUGAGCACAAACCCAGAGUGCAGAUGCGGCUCUGGCUGUGGGCAGCCCUGCAAGAGGUGUUGUUUCUCUCUCCAGAGGUACUGUCAAAGCACUUCCAGCUCUGA